Regulatory RNA element from Sporomusa malonica, 38 nucleotides. It matches the Rfam family "Selenocysteine insertion sequence 4". NCBI's taxonomy places the organism in Bacteria, Bacillati, Bacillota, Negativicutes, Selenomonadales, Sporomusaceae. The record is from Rfam.
GGGACCUGUACUCGUUGCGGUGCAACGAUUGUAAAAGA